UCAGUCGAUCCUACGGGGAGGCAGCAGUGGGGGAAUAUUGCACAAUGGGCGCAAGCCUGAUGCAGCCAUGCCGCGUGUGUGAAGAAGGCCUUCGGGUUGUAAAGCACUUUCAGUCGUGAGGAAGGUAGUGUAGUUAAUAGCUGCAUUAUUUGACGUUAGCGACAGAAGAAGCACCGGCUAACUCCGUGCCAGCAGCCGCGGUAAUACGGAGGGUGCGAGCGUUAAUCGGAAUUACUGGGCGUAAAGCGCAUGCAGGUGGUUUGUUAAGUCAGAUGUGAAAGCCCGGGGCUCAACCUCGGAAUUGCAUUUGAAACUGGCAGACUAGAGUACUGUAGAGGGGGGUAGGAAUUUCAGGUGUAGCGGUGAAAUGCGUAGAGAUCUGAAGGAAUACCGGUGGCGAAGGCGGCCCCCUGGACAGAUACUGACACUCAGAUGCGAAAGCGUGGGGAGCAAACAGGAUUAGAUACCCUGGUAG
Molecule: ribosomal RNA, 475 nt
Filed under: uncultured bacterium
Lineage: Bacteria
Description: bacterial SSU rRNA
Rfam family: Bacterial small subunit ribosomal RNA
Source: RNAcentral